RNAcentral lists this unclassified non-coding RNA (640 nucleotides) under Hevea brasiliensis (rubber tree). The record is from RNAcentral. Lineage: Eukaryota; Viridiplantae; Streptophyta; Magnoliopsida; Malpighiales; Euphorbiaceae.
AAAUGCUUCACAUAUAACACCUACUGCAUUGGACAGAUGGGAGGCAAGGUUGGAAGAGCUUUUCCAAGGGAGGCCUUUUGAUAUGCUCGAUGCAGCUUUAGCCGAUACCGUUACUAAGUUUCCAGUUGAUAUUCAGCCGUUCAAAGAUAUGAUCGAAGGGAUGAGGAUGGAUCUUAGGAAGUCGAGAUACAAGAAUUUUGACGAACUUUAUCUUUACUGCUAUUAUGUUGCUGGAACUGUUGGGUUGAUGAGUGUUCCUAUCAUGGGCAUUGCACCUGACUCCCAAGCAAGCACAGAGAGUGUGUAUAAUUCUGCCUUAGCAUUAGGCAUAGCUAAUCAGCUCACAAACAUUCUCAGAGAUGUUGGAGAAGAUGCUAGAAGAGGAAGAAUAUAUCUACCACAAGAUGAGCUAGCACAGGCAGGACUUUCAGAUGAGGACAUAUUUGCUGGAAGAGUAACUGAUAAAUGGAGAAACUUCAUGAAGAGUCAGAUUAAGAGAGCUAGAAUGUUCUUUGAUGAGGCUGAGAAAGGAGUUUUGGAGCUUAAUAAAGCUAGCAGAUGGCCGGUGUGGGCCUCAUUGCUAUUAUAUAGGCAAAUAUUGGAUGAGAUUGAAGCAAAUGACUACAACAACUUCACAAAG